Molecule: long non-coding RNA, 12445 nt
Filed under: Lactuca sativa (garden lettuce)
Lineage: Eukaryota; Viridiplantae; Streptophyta; Magnoliopsida; Asterales; Asteraceae
Description: long non-coding RNA (LSAT_LNC009876)
Source: RNAcentral
AUGUUUGUCUUGCUCCCCAACCCACAUUACAAGUCUAGCAUGCCUUACCCAGCCCUCAGCUCGUAUCUGGAAUGCCCAUGAGCGCUCAGUAUGACUCUGACAUGCCCUUCCCGGCCUUCAGCUCAUAUACUGAUUGCUCCAAUACCCUCAAGCCCUCUGUACGAUUCUGGCGUACUACUCAGUCCUCAGCUCGUAUCUGGAAUGCUAAUGUGCCCUCAGUAUGAGUCUGGCAUGCCCUCCCUGGCCCUGUGCUCAUAUUUGGAAUGCUAAUGUGCCCUCAGUAUGACUCUCAUCAGCUAAGGACAGUAAGACGGCAGGCUGAACUUAGUCAUAUUGCUAGGUGAAGUCAGAUUCAAACAUGUCUCUUGGUCGGUUUUGAGCAUCUUGUCAAUGUUAUUGCCAAAAGUAUAGACAAAUAAAUUUAUCAUAGCAGCCAUGCCAUCUGACCACAUCCUGUCACUGAUCUUUGAUGAUGGGGAAUUCGAUAAACAAAUACUAUCAUCUUCAUGGUGCUGCAGGAAAAGCGCAACAUUUAAAAGAAUACCAAUCCCAGAAAUGUACAGCUAGAUUGUACCGAUUACAAAGUCUUUUGAAGUUGACGAAUCACAUAAGGACAUUUACCUUGCCAAUAAAAUUUAUAUAUGUCUCUUUAUUUUUUUGACACAACUAUGGACUGAAGUAUUUAUCGGAUUCUGUAAACCUAUUCAAUUUGAUGAUUAAAUUUAGUGUUUUGGUGGAGUGAAGGGCCUGAUGCACCAUGGUGAAAUAGAUCCCACUGUAGGAACAAUGUGUGCAAUUACUUGAGUGACAAAUAAAUGUUCAUUUUCCAUUCCUUUUCCGUCCAAAUUGAUUAAUUAUANACAUGUCUCUUGUUCGGUUUUGAGCAUCUUGUCAAUGUUAUUGCCAAAAGUAUAGACAAAUAAAUUUAUCAUAGCAGCCAUGCCAUCUGACCACAACCUCUCACUGAUCUUUGAUGAUGGGGAAUUCGAUAAACAAAUACUAUCAUCUUCAUGGUGCUGCAGGAAAAGCGCAGCAUUAAAAGAAUACCAAUCCCAGACAUGUACAGCUAGAUUGUACCGAGUACAAAGUCUUUUGAAGUUGACGAAUCACAUAAGGACAUUUACCUUGCCAAUAACAUUUAUAUAUGUCUCUUGAUUUUUUUGACACAACUGUGGACUGAAGUAUUUAUCGGAUUCUGUAAACCUAUUCAAUUUGAUGAUUAAAUUUAGUGUAUUGGUGGAGUGAAGGGCCUGAUGCACCAUGGUGAAAUAGAUCCCACUGCAGGAACAAUGUGUGCAAUUACUUGAGUGACAAAUAAAUGUUCAUUUUCCAUUCCUUUUCCUUCCAAAUUGAUUAAUUAUAGAAAAGGGUGAUAUUUGUUCAUGAUUUGUUUUCAGCUUAUAAAUUGAAAACCUUUAAUUUAUGGAUCCUGGUUCGUGACAUUAAUUGCUACCAGCAACAUUUCGUAUACAAAAAUCAAGCACAUUCUGUAAUCAAUAUUUUAAUGAAAUACAUGUAUAAAUGACCAUACUAUAUAUAUAACCCUGAAAACAAAUAAAUAAUCAUCCAAACUUCAUCAGCAUUCUACAGAGAUCUAGGUACUAAAAGUAGCAGUUGUAAGAUGAAUCAAUAGACAUCUAGCUUUGCAAAAAGCAUUACUUUAUGGAUGGGUAACGGAAGGGAUAGGAAAAUCCUUAGGCAACUCUGGCAAUGUGGGCUUCGGAAUGACGGGAAACGUGGGCUUUGGAAACUCAGGAACCACAGCAGGCUUUGGAACUACAGGAACAUCAGGUUUUGGAACCUCAGGUAGCUCAGGCUUUGGAAGCACGGGAAGCUCAGGCUUUGGAAGAACAGGAAUCUCAGGCUUUGGAACCACGGGAACCUCAGGCUUAAGCACCACGGGAAGCUCAUGCUUAGGAACGACCGGAAGCUCAGGCUUUGGAAGCUUAGGUUUAGGAAGUACGGGAAUCUCAGGCUUAGGAACGACCGGAAGCUCUAGCUUUGGAAGCUCGGGUUUAGGAAGUACGGGAAUCUCAGGCUUAGGAAUGACAGGAAGCUCAGGCUUAGGAAGCACCGGAAGCUCAGGCUUUGGAAACACAGGAAGCUCAGGCUUUGGAAACACGGGAAGCUCAGGCUUAGGAACCACGGGAAGCUCAGGGAUCUCUGCAAGUUUACGUGCCUCAGCAAUGAUUUUCCCGCUAAAUGAUGCUAAGCUGAUAGAAAAAAGAAUCAGGAUUACGAAUUUUAGGUGAGAACUUCCCUUGGUGUUGCAAAAGGUAGAUAUUAGAAACUAACAAGUUAAUUUGAGAUGGCUUGAAAUGGUACAUGUGUUCAUUUGGAUUUAUAUAGCGGACGUGGGAUGUUGGGAAUAGUGUGAAGUAUGUCAGUUGGUAGGAAUUUCUUAGAUUUGGGAGAGUUAGCUCAACUUCUCAUCUGUACAUAAGAGUUGAGCUGUCUUAAUUAAGAAAUGAAAAUAUGGGGAUGAGUCUAGCAUGCCUUAACCAGCCCUCAGCUCGUAUCUGGAAUGCCCAUGAGCGCUCAGUAUGAGUCUGACAUGCCCUUCCCGGCCUUCAGCUCAUAUAUGGAUUGCUCCAAUACCCUCAAGCCCUCUGUACGAUUCUGGCGUACUACUCGGUCCNUCCAUGAAUAGCCUCUAGCUGCAGAUCUGCUAGAAGAUACCAAAAUGACAAUCAUUAGAAUCUAGCCACUAACCCAUAUAAUGAGUAUAAGAAACAGGGUAAAAGACCUUUUUACCCUUCCUCAAACUUAGCCCAAAGCGAAGGACCAAACCAGAUGACAAAAGGUCCAAUAUCAAAAUAAANUGGCAUGCCCUCCCUGGCCCUGAGCUCAUAUUUGGAAUGCUAAUGUGCCCUCAGUAUGAGUCUGACAUUCCCUUCCUGGCCCUCAAGUCAUAUAUGGUAUGCUAAUGAGUCCUCAGUAUGAGUAUGGCAUGCCAUCCCUAGCCCUCAGCUCAUAUCUCGAAUACUCCAGGGUUUGUUGGCUACAACACAAAGAAGUACACCCUCAACCCAACCCACACAAUAUGUGAAACAUAUAACAGAUAAUAUCCUAUACAGAUAAUCAGACAAUAUCACAGGCAGUCCUACAGAUCUACCAGACUAUCAUAUCCAUAACUAGCAUACUCAUGCAUAUCUAUUCUGUACUCGGCAUAUCAAGAAUCUCAGGAUAUCAACCAAAGGGACAACAUUGGUUCCUUCGUCCCUGUUAGUACAAUAAGGAAAACUCACCUCUUUUUACCGAAACACACAGACGAUCCCUAACUGCUGACUGCCAGAUCCCAAACCAUCAUCAUCAAGACAACACUCUAACAAUAGCUGAGUCCAUGUAUAGCCUCUAGCUGCAGAUCUGCUAGAAGAUACCAAAAUGACAAUCAUUAGCAUUUAGCCACUAACCCAUAUAAUGAGUAUAAUAAACAGGUAAAAGACCUUUUUACCCUUCCUCAAACUUGGCCCAAAGAGAACGACCAAACCAGAUGACAAAAGGUCCAAUAUCAAAAGAAACUCUUAGCCCAAUUGUGGCCCAAUUUUCCAAAUUGGGCCUAGUUCCAUUCACUCAAGAAGAUCUAUCAAGCUAAAAUCCCAAACCAUAAAACCCCAUAUGAUCCAUCACAACCCCAUGUAGGCCAAACCUAAAUCUUGAUCCAAAAAGGCUCAAAUUACCUCAAGGCNACUUGGCCAAUUUUUCCAAAUUGGGCCCAACUCCUUAUUGGGCCUUGUCCAAAGGUGCGAUCCUCUACUUAGCCCUAAAACACACUUAUCUACUCAUUCCAUUAGGGCCCAAGUAUCAAAGCCCAAAAGAUGGCCCAAUACCCGAAGCCCAAAAUCUGAAAUCCAAUCAGGGGACCUACGGGGGGCGUACCCCUUCGGUAUGCUGGGCGUACCUUGCCUUGCAUUGACCCAUUACGGGGGAUUGACUCCGAACGUGGGGCGUACAGAAGCUUACGCGGGGUGUACUCGUGCAAAACUUAAACCUUCUAUAAGUGCUUAAUGGAUUAAUCACUUGAGCUCAAACUUUAGAUCGACUACUCAAAUGUGCUGUAGAACCAUAAAGUCUCAAACUUUAAGACUUUGGUCGACCAGAAAAUGCUUAAUACAUGUUCUUAACCCAUUAAGACCUCCUACAAUGAACUAAGGCCCAAACUAGCUCAAGGGACCUCAUUUUUAUGCCUUAGGACGCAUCCUAAGUUCUGAAAGGACAACUUAACUCGACCAAAGAAAAGCAUGCACAAUAUUGGGACUCUUGGGAGAAGAAGGAUACCAAAAACUGGCCAAAACAAGAUCUACAUAAUUCAAGCAUAAAGGUAGAAGCUUUAUACCUUCUAAAGCUGCCCGAGAUGGUGACAACCUCAGAUCUACAAGCUUGAUUCCUUCCUUGACUCCUUGAUGCUUUUUCUUCUCAUUCAAUCACAUCACCAACACACUUUAGGCUCUAAAACUCUCUCUUAUGGACUAGGGUUUGCUAAAAAUGGAUCAAAGGCUUGGACGAUGGAAAAGAUGAGAGGAAAUGGUCCAUAAGGUUCUUAAGUACUCCACAAACCCUAAAAGUUAAGGUUUAACUCUGGCACUCGUACGCCCAGCAUACAGAUGUGUACGCCCAGUGUACUAGGGCACGCCCUACUACGCUUAGCGUACUCACAUGUACACCCAGCGUACUACUCAAGUUUCCAAAAUCACAAUUUUGCCACUUCUUUCCAAAACAAGGGCCAAACAUGACAUAAUUCAAUCUCCGAGGGAUGAAUUUGAAGUUAUUGAAAGAUGGGGUGCUACAAAAAUGUGCAAUUUAAGAAAGUGUUCGAAACGGAACCGGACCAGACACCGAAAAAACAGAAGUGGAAUAAGUCAUAAACUAAGAGCAGAGAACCCGACCGAUUACCACUAACCAGUUCCAACAGGUUCGUAUCUCGUUCCGAAUUGUUUUUUCGGUUAAAAAACCCAUCCCUAGGUGAUCCCUAGGUGACUCCACAAUACCAAAAUCUAUUAUUAUGCGUUGUGAUUGGUUUCAUGUAUGGAUAUUAAUCACCACAAUGCGUAAAGUGGUUAGAUACCCUUUGAGUGGGCAUGUGCAAUGGCCCACAAGUCAACUAUUAUGUUAUUAUGUUGGUAAGGUUGUACAUGGUGGGUUGUGUACUACCCACGAAGCCAUGUAUGACUGAUACCAUGUUAUGUAGGGAGAAUUAUAUAACCGAUACGAUGUUAUGUGGACGUACAAACCUUGUAGUAUAUUGUCGGAUGGACAUGGAAAUUGGGUUUAGGAUCAUAGGCAUUGCAUUUCUACUAAUGUUGUGAAACUAAUAUGUUGAUAUGUUUUCAGAAUUCAAUGAUAUUAUAUGAACCCGCUUUAAGGGUAUUGGGAUGUUUUAUUGAUUUAAAGUAUUUUGGAGGUUCAACUGCAAGUAUAGACGACUGUCAUUAUCCUUUACUCUUGAAGAGUUGCACUCGGGUAUUCUCACGAGACAUUCUCACGCCUUAUGCUAUAUUUUGACGUGUUAGAGAUGAAGAAGGAUGCUUGGUUAUUUAGAAGAUGAGAUAGAUGUAAUAUCGUACUUGUAGUUAUGUUUUGAGAUCCAUUGUAAUAUCCUCGCUAUGCUUUAAACUAAAUUUGAAUUCGCACCAAAUGCAUAUCCGCACAUGUUUUAGCAACAUAAGCUCUCAUUUUUGGAUGAAAACUAUAUUUUAAUACCAUUUUAAAAAUCACCAUAUGCGAGUGAUGUUUUACCUACUCUUGGCCAUCCAUAGUGUUUCCAUAAGGUUUGCGGCAACUUGGAGUAACACGUCAAAAUGGUCCUUCAAGAACAUUACCUUCUUCAUUCGUAGAGAGAAUAACUGUUGCUUCAAUAGUAAUUUGUUCGUUCAGAAGUUUGACUUGUACAGACUCUCAAGUGUCAACCAUAGAGACAUUUUCUUCUUCUGCGACUUCAUAAAUCAUCUCAUCAGCUAAGGACAGUAAGACGGCAGGCUGAACUUAGUCAUAUUGCUAGGUGAAGUCUGAUUCAAACAUGUCUCUUGGUCGGUUUUGAGCAUCUUGUCAAUGUUAUUGCCAAAAGUAUAGACAAAUAAAUUUAUCAUAGCAGCCAUGCCAUCUGACCACAACCUCUCACUGAUCUUUGAUGAUGGGGAAUUCGAUAAACAAAUACUAUCAUCUUCAUGGUGCUGCAGGAAAAGCGCAGCAUUUAAAAGAAUACCAAUCCCAGACAUGUACAGCUAGAUUGUACCGAGUACAAAGUCUUUUGAAGUUGACGAAUCACAUAAGGACAUUUACCUUGCCAAUAACAUUUAUAUAUGUCUCUUGAUUUUUUUGACACAACUGUGGACUGAAGUAUUUAUCGGAUUCUGUAAACCUAUUCAAUUUGAUGAUUAAAUUUAGUGUAUUGGUGGAGUGAAGGGCCUGAUGCACCAUGGUGAAAUAGAUCCCACUGCAGGAACAAUGUGUGCAAUUACUUGAGUGACAAAUAAAUGUUCAUUUUCCAUUCCUUUUCCUUCCAAAUUGAUUAAUCAUAGAAAAGGGUGAUAUUUGUUCAUGAUUUGUUUUCAGCUUAUAAAUUGAAAACCUUUAAUUUAUGGAUCCUGGUUCGUGACAUUAAUUGCUACCAGCAACAUUUCGUAUACAAAAAUCAAGCACAUUCUGUAAUCAAUAUUUUAAUGAAAUACAUGUAUAAAUGACCAUACUAUAUAUAUAACCCUGAAAACAAAUAAAUAAUCAUCCAAACUUCAUCAGCAUUCCACAGAGAUCUAGGUACUAAAAGUAGCAGUUGUAAGGUGAAUCAAUAGACAUCUAGCUUUGCAAAAAGCAUUACUUUAUGGAUGGGUAACGGAAGGGAUAGGAAAAUCCUUAGGCAACUCUGGCAAUGUGGGCUUCGGAAUGACGGGAAACGUGAGCUUUGGAAACUCAGGAACCUCAACAGGCUUUGGAACUACAGGAACAUCAGGUUAUGGAACCUCAGGUAGCUCAGGCUUUGGAAGCACGUGAAGCUCAGGCUUUGGAAGAACCGGAAUCUCAGGCUUUGGAACCACGGGAACCUCAGGCUUAAGCACCACGGGAAGCUCAUGCUUAGGAACGACCGGAAGCUCAGGCUUUGGAAGCUCAGGUUUAGGAAGUACGGGAAUCUCAGGCUUAGGAACGACCGGAAGCUCAGGCUUUGGAAGCUCAGGUUUAGGAAGUACGGGAAUCUCAGGCUUAGGAAUGACAGGAAGCUCAGGCUUAGGAAGCACCGGAAGCUCAGGCUUUGGAAACACAGGAAGCUCAGGCUUUGGAAACACGGGAAGCUCAGGCUUAGGAACCAUGGGAAGCUCAGGGAUCUCUGCAAGUUUACGUGCCUCAGCAAUGAUAUUCCCGCUAAAUGAUGCUAAGCUGACAGAAAAAAGAAUCAGGAUUAUGAAAUUUUGGUGAGAACGUCCCAUGGUGUUGCAAAAGGUAGAUAUUAGAAACUAACAAGUUAAUUCGAGAUGGCUUGAAAUGGUACAUGUGUUCAUUUGGAUUUAUAUAGUGGACGUGUGAUGUUGGGAAUAGUGUGAAGUACGUGAGUUGGAAGGAAUUUCUUAGAUUUGGGAGAGUUAGCUCAACUUCUCAUCUGUACAUAAGAGUUGAGCUGUCUUAAUUAAGAUAUGAAAAUGUGGGGAUGAGACUUGGCGACUUUCCUUAGGAGGGUUUAAUAGAAAGCAUAUUUGUUUAUUUAUUUGACAAAUGAAACAUAGUAGGUUCUUCAUAAUGCAAAAAGUUGUAGGUUAUAAAUUUUAGUUAUUGAUAGUAAAAGUCGAAAAUAUAAACAGAAUUUAUGUAAUUCGAUGAAAUAAAUUAUUUCCUUAUUAUUUGGUUGGAAGAUAAGAAUUCAAAGAUCCACCUUAACUUAAUUUCCUAGUGCACAUUAUUGACCAAUCCAAAACAAUUAAAUUUUGGGCCGGUGCACAAGAAAAUAUAUCUAGCACCAAUAUGAAUAUUUAGGAAAGCAAGUAAAAUAAUUUUUUUCCAAACCGAAAUUUCACCAAUUAAAACAUAAAAUUCAAGCUUGAACUGACUUUACAUUCGUUAGAAAUUCAAUUUUUUUUCUAUGAACUAGAACUAACGAGGAGCUUGAUUUUCAAAGUGAUGCACGGCGGUCAAGCAGGCCUAAGAUUAUACCGCCAACCAUUCUGGUGGAUAGAUCUACCAAAUUUGGAGAAGUUCAAGAUUCCAAAGAAAAGAGAAAAACCGCACCUCACUUGCUAAAUUGGCAUUGAUCAUUUACUUACUGAAUUAUUAUUUAUUUUUAUAAGCAUUCGCGUAGUAAAAUAUUCGGUUCUUGCCAACUUUCCAUAAUUAAACAUUUACCUCUUUACGAUUCUAACUAAUCCGGACACUUUCCUUCCCUUUGACAUUAUACACUUAUGUAGGUCACGUAUUUAACACCCCAAAAUUUAAGAGGCAUAUAGGAAUGCCAAGGUACAUGAAAGGGGAACAAGAUAGAAUGUGGCAUACGAACACUUGCAAACAAGAAAUGGUUUUUGGAUGCGAGUUUAAAUCCUUAAAGUAAGGUUGUAAAUAUUAAGCAAAAUGUAAGAAUGCUUAAAAUGUGGGUUUUGGUUAAUACAUGAAACUUAUUAGCGAAAAGAAGAAAAGUGAACAUGUGAAUAAUUACAAGGAAAUGGCAAUGAAAACCAGUUUUGAGUGCACUGUAUAAGUAAUUUAGUUGUUCCUAUAUGCAUCAANAAAAAAAAAAAAAAAAAAAAAAAAAAAAAAAAAAAAAAAAAAAAAAAAAAAAAAAACCCAGCUUUUUGGACUUGAAAUGUAAAAGUUAUGUCAAAUGGAAGUGUUAACGGUUUUUAUGAGAUGUACCACUUGAAAAAAACUACGGAAAACCUUGGUUCGGAAUCAGAAAUCUUGAUGCUCACACAUAAUGUUAAACGAAAAGCAAAUAGAAUGUUAAAAAAUAGGCUUUUGCAACUAAAAUGAAAGCAAUAUUAUGUAUAGAAUGUAGAUACAUGAACAGGUUGAGUACUAAAAUAUAUAUGAAAUGAUACAUGGAACUUUCUUUGGCAAUCGAGUUUAUGUACCUGAUUAAGUAUUACCCUGGUUCCAAUAGGCGGUUAAUACAAUUAGGUACCCAGGUCAAAAAUAAUUAAGGUGUUGAAAUAAGGAAGUUAUGCAUGGUAUAAGAAUGGGUAUCACCAAUAACAAACGGUCUGAGUGAACCCCAAAGCACCUUUUAUAAGUCGAAUAGCUGCCGAGGGAGGGCUCAUACAUACGUAGUAGGUAUAAUGGUAUGUCCAGCUUGAUUCCAUUUUGAUUAAAGCCAUGUUGUUGUGUUUUUCUAAUGGAGAGGAACGGAAAGAAAGGGAAGUUGCCUUUCAUUCCCUUCCCUUUCCCUUACAUUCAUCCCAAAUGGGCUCGAGAGGAAAGAUUUCAUGAAAAAUUAGUCUUUUAUUCCCCUAUCAAUCACUCGUUUCCUUCUCUUUCCUCCUUAAAGCCUAGUUACGGAGUUCAACUUAAGGACUGAAAGGAACGGAUGCUGAACGAAACAGAAAGAAAAGAAAACAAAAAAAGGUUUUCCUUAUUUUUUUAAGGUUUUCCUUAAAUAAAAUGUAAAAAUGCUUAAAACGCGAGUCUUGGUUAAUACAUGAAACUUAUUAGCGAAAUGAAGAAAAGUGAACAUGUAAAUAAUUACUAGGAAAUGGCAACGAAAUCCAGUUUUUAGUGCACUAUAUCAGUAUCUUAGUUGUUCCUAUAUGGAUCCACGACAACUAAGAAUGAAAUGCAAAAGAAUCAACUUUUUGGACUUGAAAUGGAAAAGUUAUGUCGAUUGGAAGUGUUUAGGGUUUUCAUGAGAUGAGCCACUUGAAAACAACUACGGAAUACCAUGGUUUUGGAUGUUCAGAACUAUAGAUGCCCACACAUAUUGUUAAACCAAAAACAAAUUAAAUGUUAAAAAGAAAGCUUUUGGAUAUAAAAUGAAACCAAUAUUAUUUGUCGAAUGUAGAUAGAUGAAUUGGUUGAGAAAUAAAAACUAUAUGAAAUGCUACAUUGAAAUUUCCUUGGCAAUCGAGUAUAUUUACAUGGUUAUGGUAUUAUCCAGGUUCAAUAGGUGGUUAAUACAAUUGGAUACCCAGUUCAAAAAUAAUUGAAAUAUUGAACUAAGAAGUUAUACAUGGAAUAAGAAUUGUUAUCGCCAAGAACAGUUGGUCCGAGUUGACCAAUAGCGAACCCCCAAGUUCCUUUCAUAGAUUGAAUAGCAACCAAGGGAGGACUCACACAGACGUAGUGGGUAUGAUGACAUGUCGAGCUUGACUCCAUUUUGAUUAACGCCAUGUUGUCGAGUUUUUUUUUAUUUUUCAUUAUUUUCAUGGGAGAGGAACAGAAAGAAAGGGAAGUUGCCUUUCCUUCCAUCCGCUUUCCCUUACGUUCAUCCCAAAAAGGACCGAGAGGAAAUAUUUCAUGAAAAAUAGUAUUUUCUUCCCCUGCCAAUCCUCCGUUUUCUUUCAUUUCCUUCCUUAAAGCCUAGUUACCGAGUUCCACUUAAGGAAGGAAAGGAAAGAAAGUUGAAAGAAAUAGAAGGAAAGGAAGAUAAAAAAAGGUGUUCCAUUUUUUUAAGUAGGGAAGAUGACAUGCAUUUGCAUGUCAUAAAAUUAUGACAUGCAUUUUGUGACACAUUUAAAUGCAUGUCAUCUUCCUUUAUAACAUUGUCUAAAAUGACACACAAUUACAACACAUGUUUACAAUAUAUUUUACGACACUUAUUUUGCGUGCCAUAAACUUAAGCAUUUUAAAAAAAAUUAUAUAUUUACUAACUUUCUAAUUGAGUGACAGUGGACCCUAUAGACUUUCAAAUAUUCGAUCCUACCCUAAGCCCUUCAUCAGACAAGAACAGGAAAUAAGGCAAAACAAAAAAUUCUCAGGCUAUAAGAUCAUAGUUAUAUACAACCAUGAUGUAAGCAGUAAUGAUGUCAAUUUUAAAUAAGGAAGAACCUAGGCUAUCAAACAUCAAAUAAUCAGGCAAUUCUAUCAUGAAAUUCCUAGAGAUCCCUAGUCUAUCACCAGCAUGCUGUUUUAACAUAUCAUAACAUAUCAUAAGCUCUGAUAACUAUGUGGUAAUUUGGGGUCUACUUACUGGUUCCGGCCGAUCGUACAUAUCACAUCCUCUUUGAUUAUUUUCAAAACCAUUUGAAAAUUUGUUUUGAAAACCCUUUUUCCUUAGUUUGAGACUGGAUUCACAUGAGUGUUCCUCCGAUUCACUCAAACCAAGGCUAUAAUACAACCUUGUAACAUCCUUAAAAUUUCAGUAAAAUUCAAACUUUACAAAACAAUCCCUUUUCUUUAGAGGUGUUUACAAAACCGUUGUUUGCAGAACAUUUAUUUAAAACCGGAAUCAUUUACACAUAGUUUUCAAAACAUUCACAUUAUCAGGGUUUCCCAGAAACCAUAAGUCCAAAACGCGAGGAUGUGCACGGUCAUGCCUUCGCCUUGCCAAAACAACUGAAGCACCUAAAACAAUAAACUAAAACCGUAAUCACAAAGCUUUGUUAGUUCCCCCAUACAAAUAACAGCAUGCAAUGGGUCCACAGCUAAUAGACUAGAUUACCCAUGAGCCCACAACAAACGUCUGGCUUGCCCCCUGGGCCGACAACUUAUGUCUGUCUUGCUCCCCGACCCACAUUACGAGUCUAGCCUGCCCUACCCAGCCCUCAGCUCAUAUCUAGAAUGCCCAUGAGCGCUCAGUAUGAGUCUGACAUGCCCUUCCCGGCCUUCAGCUCGUAUAUGGAUAUCUCCAAUACCCUCAAGCCCUCAGUACGAUUCUGGCAUACCACUCGGUCUUCAGCUCGUAUCUGGAAUGCUAAUGUGCCCUCAACAAGAGUCUGGCAUGGUCACGCCUUCGCCUUGCCAAAACAUCUAAAGCACCUGAAACAAUAAACUAAAACCGUAAUCACAAAGCUUUGUUAGUUCCCCCAUACAAAUAACAACAUGCAAUGGGUCCACAGCUAAUAGACUAGAUUACCCCUGAGCCCACAACAAGCGUCUGGCUUGCCCCCUAGGCCCACAACUUAUGUCUGUCUUGCUCCCCGAACCACAUUACAAGUCUAGCAUGCCCUACCCAGCCCUCAGCUCGUAUCUGGAAUGCCCAUGAGCGCUCAGUAUGAGUCUGACAUGCCCUUCCCGACCUUCAGCUCAUAUAUGGAUUGCUCCAAUACCAUCAAACCCUCAAUACGAUUCUGGCAUACCACUCGGUCCUCAGCUCAUAUCUGGAAUGCUAAUGUGCCCUCAGUAUGAGUCUGACAUUCCCUUCCUGGCUCUCAGGUCAUAUAUGGAAUGCUAAUGACUCCUCAGUAUGAGUCUGGAAUGCCAUCCCUGGCCCUCAGCUCAUAUCUCGAAUAUUGCAGGGUUUGUUGGCUACAACACAAAGUAGUACACCCUCAACCCAACCCACACAAUAUAUGAAACAUAUAACAGAUAAUAUCCU